UAUCCUCUCAGUGGAAGGAGGG
This 22-nucleotide unclassified non-coding RNA is filed under the name Mus musculus (house mouse). RNAcentral's name for it is "oocyte_clustered_small_RNA12168". The record is from RNAcentral. Lineage: Eukaryota; Metazoa; Chordata; Mammalia; Rodentia; Muridae.